AAGUCCUCUUUUUGCCA
Molecule: transfer RNA, 17 nt
Filed under: Canis lupus (wolf)
Lineage: Eukaryota; Metazoa; Chordata; Mammalia; Carnivora; Canidae
Description: partial tRNA-Tyr
Source: RNAcentral